This 646-nucleotide unclassified non-coding RNA is filed under the name Hevea brasiliensis (rubber tree). Lineage: Eukaryota; Viridiplantae; Streptophyta; Magnoliopsida; Malpighiales; Euphorbiaceae. The record is from RNAcentral.
CGAUAUAUUACAGGGGGACUUGCACUGUGUAAAUAUUCCAAUCCUUUUGCUGCUCCGGCAGCAAUUUUCAUUCUUGUGUUCCAAUCUAGCCGUUCCUUACCUGGCGUAGGAUCAUGAAGAUGGUCCUCCAAUGAUCCUAAUGGCAUAUAUUCGUAGACCAGAAGUCUCUGAUCUCCAUCAGCACAAUAGCCAAUUAGAUUUACAAGGUUAGGAUGGUGUAACAGACUUAACAUCAGCACUUCGACAAGAAAUUCCCUGUUGCCCUGCAAUCCAUUACGAUCUAGUUGCUUGAUGGCGACGACCUGAUUGGACUCGAUCACCCCUUUGUAAACUCUACCAAAGCCUCCUUCUCCAAGAAGAUAAUCACCUCGGAAAUUUUUUGUUGCAGCUGCUAAAUCACGAAAUAUAAAAGUCUUGGCUGCAAUUUGGUUGGACCCUGCAUCCUUAUCAACUUCCUUUGAGCGUAAUGAAUUCUUUGAUUUCAACUUAUCAGUAGAGUGCCGGCCCGAAUCGACUGAAUUUUUCUUCUUUGAGGUCUGUUUGGAUGGUCCAGAACAAGGAAACCAACCCAUUUUCUUCUCCUUUACAACUUGAGAGAGGCGAAGUUUUUGCACAGCUGAUUAGCUGUCUACAAAAGUGAAGACGG